AACGCUGGCGGCAUGCCUUACACAUGCAAGUCGAACGGCAGCACGGGAGCAAUCCUGGUGGCGGAGUGGCGAACGGGUGAGUAAUAUAUCGGAACGUGCCCAGUCGUGGGGGAUAACGUAGCGAAAGCUACGCUAAUACCGCAUACGAUCUACGGAUGAAANCGGGGGAUCGCAAGACCUCGCGCGAUUGGAGCGGCCGAUAUCAGAUUAGGUAGUUGGUGAGGUAAAGGCUCACCAAGCCGACGAUCUGUAGCUGGUCUGAGAGGACGACCAGCCACACUGGGACUGAGACACGGCCCAGACUCCUACGGGAGGCAGCAGUGGGGAAUUUUGGACAAUGGGCGCAAGCCUGAUCCAGCAAUGCCGCGUGCAGGAUGAAGGCCUUCGGGUUGUAAACUGCUUUUGUACGGAACGAAACGGUGAGCUCUAAUACAGUUUGCUAAUGACGGUACCGUAAGAAUAAGCACCGGCUAACUACGUG
This 481-nucleotide ribosomal RNA is filed under the name uncultured bacterium. RNAcentral's name for it is "bacterial SSU rRNA". It matches the Rfam family "Bacterial small subunit ribosomal RNA", at positions 32 to 507 of the family's 1533-position model. The record is from RNAcentral.